This 777-nucleotide ribosomal RNA is filed under the name uncultured Neocallimastigales. RNAcentral describes it as "partial large subunit ribosomal RNA". It matches the Rfam family "Eukaryotic large subunit ribosomal RNA", at positions 23 to 627 of the family's 3401-position model. Lineage: Eukaryota; Fungi; Neocallimastigomycota; Neocallimastigomycetes; Neocallimastigales. The record is from RNAcentral.
AGAGAGAGACAUGCGCGCAUAUCAAUAAGCGGAGGAAAAGAAAACUAACAAGGAUUCCCCUAGUAACGGCGAGUGAAGCGGGGAGAGCUCAAAUUUGAAAUCUUAAAGGGUUUCCCUUUACGAAUUGUAGUUUAAAGAAGUGUUUUUCUGUUGAGGUUUUGGUAAAAGUUCUUUGGAAUAGGACAUCAUAGAGGGUGAGAAUCCCGUAUUUGACCUUUACUUUCAACUUUGUGAUACACUUUCAAAGAGUCGGAUUGUUUGGGAAUGCAGUCCAAAAUGGGUGGUAAAUUUCAUCUAAAGCUAAAUAUUGGCGAGAGACCGAUAGCGAACAAGUACCGUGAGGGAAAGAUGAAAAGAACUUUGAAAAGAGAGUUAAACAGUACGUGAAAUUGUCAAAAGGGAAGCGUUUGACACCAGUGUUGUUUUUUCUGAAAAUCAAUUAAAGAACUGUUUAUGCUAAGUUGUUUAGACUUUAUCAGCUAACUGUUUAGUUUUGAGCUUUUCUUUAAUGCACUUUUCAGUUAACAAGUCAACAUCAAUUUCUUUUGCUGUAAAAAAGCUUGAGGAAGGUGGCUUGAGAUUCGUCUUAAGUGUUUAUAGCCUCUUGCCUAUGCAGUCGGAGAGAUUGAGGUCUGCAGCGUAGAUCCUUCGGGGCUAAAUGCAUUUGUGCUAAGAUAUAGCAUUUUAUAGACAACUUGUUGACUAUGAUUUGUCUUGUAGCUUACUCGCUUAUGUUAUUUUACCUACGCUUAGGAUGUUGAAGACUCUACAGAGAUA